GAUGAACGCUGGCGGCGUGCUUAACACAUGCAAGUCGAACGGGAAACCUUUUAUUGAAGCUUCGGCAGAUUUAGCUGGUUUCUAGUGGCGGACGGGUGAGUAACGCGUGGGUACCCUGCCUUAUACAGGGGGAUAACAACCAGAAAUGGUUGCUAAUACCGCAUAAGCGCACAGGACCGCAUGGUCCGGUGUGAAAAACUCCGGUGGUAUAAGAUGGACCCGCGUUGGAUUAGCUAGUUGGCAGGGUAACGGCCUACCAAGGCGACGAUCCAUAGCCGGCCUGAGAGGGUGAACGGCCACAUUGGGACUGAGACACGGCCCAGACUCCUACGGGAGGAAGCAGUGGGGAAUAUUGCACAAUGGGGGAAACCCUGAUGCAGCGACGCCGCGUGAAGGAAGAAGUAUCUCGGUAUGUAAACUUCUAUCAGCAGGGAAGAUAGUGACGGUACCUGACUAAGAAGCCCCGGCUAACUACGUG
RNAcentral lists this ribosomal RNA (478 nucleotides) under uncultured bacterium. Its description in RNAcentral is "partial 16S ribosomal RNA". It matches the Rfam family "Bacterial small subunit ribosomal RNA", at positions 28 to 507 of the family's 1533-position model. The record is from RNAcentral.